UUGAACGCUGGCGGCAGGCCUAACACAUGCAAGUCGAACGGUAACAGGAAACAGCUUGCUGUUUCGCUGACGAGUGGCGGACGGGUGAGUAAUGUCUGGGAAACUGCCUGAUGGAGGGGGAUAACUACUGGAAACGGUAGCUAAUACCGCAUAACGUCGCAAGACCAAAGAGGGGGACCUUCGGGCCUCUUGCCAUCGGAUGUGCCCAGAUGGGAUUAGCUAGUAGGUGGGGUAACGGCUCACCUAGGCGACGAUCCCUAGCUGGUCUGAGAGGAUGACCAGCCACACUGGAACUGAGACACGGUCCAGACUCCUACGGGAGGCAGCAGUGGGGAAUAUUGCACAAUGGGCGCAAGCCUGAUGCAGCCAUGCCGCGUGUAUGAAGAAGGCCUUCGGGUUGUAAAGUACUUUCAGCGGGGAUGAAGGGAGUAAAGUUAAUACCUUUGCUCAUUGACGUUACCCGCAGAAGAAGCACCGGCUAACUCCGUG
Molecule: ribosomal RNA, 489 nt
Filed under: uncultured bacterium
Lineage: Bacteria
Description: partial 16S ribosomal RNA
Rfam family: Bacterial small subunit ribosomal RNA
Source: RNAcentral